UCAUCCACUGUUUGGUAAAAAGAGUCUUUAGACUCACUGUCAGAUGGUAGAGUUGGAGCAUACACACUUAGAAGUGUGGCAUAGCGGUUCUUCACCUGGGGGAUACGGAGGGUCAUCAGUCUUUCACUGAUGCCCACAGGAGUUUCAGUGAGUCUUGGCAGUCUUCUUUCUUAAUUGCCAGUCCCACACCAUGCAGAUGUCUCCUGGACUCCUAUAGCAGGUCUGAAAGACCCCACAGAACAACAGCGCUGGUUACAGCCGAGCCGCACAGCUAUGAUAUCGACAUUGCUGCCCUGAGUGAAACCAGGCUCCUUGAUGAGGGGUCUCUAACAGAGGAGGACAUGGGCUACACCUUCUACAGGAAAGGCUAUCCCACAGGUGGACAACAUCUGCAAGGUGAGGUCUCAGUGUGUUCAACACAAACAGUAAAAGCUGAACUGGUUUGACCUUUCACCUGUUCGCCAGCAUCACGCUGAGCUCGUAUGAGCAUGAAGAAGGUUUACUGCAGGAGCGCUCCUGUUCCUGUCUGAAGCCGAGUUAUUCUGGGACUGCGAUGCUUCAUCUCUCUGGAGACUCUAACUUUAACUGUCUUCUCACACAUAUCUACCACAUCCAUGAGUCACCAGCAUCCUCUCAGAAGAUCUCACAGUAUUCAUCAUAAAACUGGCCACCUGUUAGAUCUGGAA
Long non-coding RNA from Carassius auratus (goldfish), 686 nucleotides. RefSeq lists it as uncharacterized. The record is from RefSeq and is a predicted model, not a curated record. Lineage: Eukaryota; Metazoa; Chordata; Actinopteri; Cypriniformes; Cyprinidae. The transcript is spliced from 3 exons.